AAUUUUUCUCAUUUCAGAUUUCAUAAAUAAAAAGAAAAUUUCUUCAAACAUUUUUUUGAGCGGAUUAAUAUUCAACAGCAUAGUGAAUUGCUCAAAGGCAAAAAAAUCUAAGUUCAUUAGACCACAUUAAUUCUGUGUCAGAAACCUAUGCUGUGUCAACUAUUUAAUCACAAUCCAAAUUUAGAGCUGAAUCCAGCUUAAAUGUUGUGUCCAUACUUGCCCCA
This 224-nucleotide long non-coding RNA is filed under the name Mytilus galloprovincialis (Mediterranean mussel). The record is from RNAcentral. Lineage: Eukaryota; Metazoa; Mollusca; Bivalvia; Mytilida; Mytilidae.